AGUGGCGGACGGGUGAGUAAUACAUCGGAACAUGCCAUGUAGAAUGGGAUAACUCAUCGAAAGAUGAGCUAAUACCGUAUAAUCUCUGAGGAGGAAAGCUGGGGACCAUUAAUGGCCUGGCGCUAUAUGAGUGGCCGAUGGUCGAUUAGCUAGUUGGUGGGGUAGAGGCUUACCAAGGCGAUGAUCGAUAGCUGUUCUGAGAGGAAGAUCAGCCACACUGGGACUGAGACACGGCCCAGACUCCUACGGGAGGCAGCAGUGGGGAAUUUUGGACAAUGGGGGGAACCCUGAUCCAGCAACGCCGCGUGAAUGAAGAAGGCCUUCGGGUUGUAAAGUUCUUUUAUUGGGGAGCAAAGCUUAUUUGUAAAUAGCAGAUGAGUAUGAGAGUACCCAAGGAAUAAGCACCGGCUAACUACGUGCCAGCAGCCGCGGCAAUACGUAGGGUGCGAGCGUUAAUCGGAAUAACUGGGCGUAAAGGGUGCGUAGGCGGAUAUAUAAGUUAGAUGUGAAAAGCCCGGGCUUAACCUUGGCCGUGCAUUUAAGACUGUAUAUCUAGAGUUUGUGAGAGGGUGGUAGAAUUCCAAGUGUAGCGGUGAAAUGCGUAGAGAUUUGGAGGAAUACCGAUGGCGAAGGCAGCCACCUGGCAUAGAACUGACGCUGAGGCACGAAAGCGUGGGUAGCAAACAGGAUUAGAUACCCU
Molecule: ribosomal RNA, 700 nt
Filed under: uncultured bacterium
Lineage: Bacteria
Description: bacterial SSU rRNA
Rfam family: Bacterial small subunit ribosomal RNA
Source: RNAcentral